AAAGUAAUUAUUCAUAUGAAGAAAUGUAAUAUUUCAAAAUUAUUACUUUUUUCAAAAAAAUGUUAUUUUUACUUACGAAAACUUGUAAUUUUAAUGACUUGGUCAAGUAAUUAUAGUUGUAAGAAAAAAUAACCAUUGAUAUGAAUAAAGGUAAUUUUUUAUAAAAAAUGAAAUAAAUGAAAAAAAAGUAUAUAUAAAAUGUUAAAAAGAAAAAAUUAAACGAAAAAGCAAAAGAAAAUAAAUAAAACACUUUACUAAAGUAAUUAUUAUUGUAAUAAAAAUUAACCAUUGAUAUGACAAAAAAAAUAUACAGUAUAAAUGUAAUAACAGAAAAAAAAAAGCAAUAAGAAACACAAAAAAUGCUAAUGCAAAAAGAAUCAUUUAUAAUAGAAAAAAAAAAGGAAAAAAAGAAAAAAAAAAACGACUAAUGCAAAAAGGAAAAUAGAAAAAAAUGGGAAAAAAAAUGUUGCUGAGAAGAUUCGAACCUUGGUAGAUAAGACAGGGAAAACUUUCCCCCACCACUACACCACAUCUAACUUUGUAAUUAAGAAGGAAACAGUUUUGAUAUACUAUUCGAGCCCAGAUCCGCCCAUCCCACACCAUAACCCGCCAGACCCGCGCCCAAACUCACCCGACCCGACCCGACCCGCGCCCCGACCCGUCUCAUGGGGUGAGGUUGACCUCACCCA
This 689-nucleotide long non-coding RNA is filed under the name Salvia miltiorrhiza (redroot sage). RNAcentral's name for it is "long non-coding RNA (SMIL_LNC011511)". The record is from RNAcentral. Lineage: Eukaryota; Viridiplantae; Streptophyta; Magnoliopsida; Lamiales; Lamiaceae.